CAGUCGCCGCGGGAAUACAGAGGGUGCGAGCGUUACUCGGAAUUACUGGGCGUAAAGCGUGCGUAGGUGGUGGUUUAAGUCCGUUGUGAAAGCCCUGGGCUCAACCUGGGAAUUGCAGUGGAUACUGGGUCACUAGAGUGUGGUAGAGGAUAGUGGAAUUUCCGGUGUAGCAGUGAAAUGCGUAGAGAUCGGAAGGAACAUCUGUGGCGAAGGCGACUAUCUGGGCCAACACUGACACUGAGGCACGAAAGCGUGGGGAGCAAACAGGAUUAGAUACCCCUGUAGUCCCUGUCUCUUAUAC
This 301-nucleotide ribosomal RNA is filed under the name uncultured bacterium. RNAcentral's name for it is "partial 16S ribosomal RNA". It matches the Rfam family "Bacterial small subunit ribosomal RNA", at positions 509 to 807 of the family's 1533-position model. The record is from RNAcentral.